AAAAAGUUUUAUUUUAGCUUAAAAAUUAGGUGUUAUUUUUUAUUAUAUGUAAAUUUUAUUAAAGAAUAAAUAAGCAGUAUUUAAUAUUAAAAAUUUAAGAAAUUAAGAAUUAGAAAUAAUAUGUAGUAUAAACUAAAUUUGUGCCAGCAGUUGCGGUUAUACAAAUUAUAUAAGUUAAUUUUAUUAAUUUUAAUUAAUUGAAUUUUAAAUUUUAUAAUUAAAUUUAUUUGGUGAAAUUGUAAAUUUAUAUAAGAAUUUAUAUUUGUAAAUAAUGUUAAUAAAUUUUUGUAAUAAACUAGGAUUAGAUACCCUAUUAUUAAAAGUGUAAUUUUUAUAUUAAAUUAUUAUUAGUUAUGGUCUUUAAAAUUAAAAAUUUUGGCGGUAUUUUAAUCUAUUCAGAGGAACCUGUUUUAUAAAUGAUAAUCCACGAUUUAAUUUACUUUUAUUAUUAAUUUAUAUAUCGUCGUUAUUUAAAUAUCUUUUUAAAGUUAAAAUAUUUAAAAUUUUUUUAAUAAAAUAUUUCAGAUCAAGGUAUAGUUUAUAUAAAAGAAUAAAUGGGUUACAAUAAAUUUAUUUUUAGGAUUAAUAAUUUUAAAUUAUUAUUAAUUUGGAUUUGAUAGUAAUUUUAAUUAAUUUAUUAAAAUGAUUUUAGUACUAAAAUAUGUACAUAUUGCCCGUCACUUUCAUUUAAUAUGAAAUAAGUCGUAACAGAGUAGAUUUACUGGAAAGUGAAUCUAGAAAACA
Molecule: non-coding RNA, 744 nt
Filed under: Longitarsus rutilus
Lineage: Eukaryota; Metazoa; Arthropoda; Insecta; Coleoptera; Chrysomelidae
Source: RNAcentral